GACUAACGCUGGCGGCGUGCCUAACACAUGCAAGUCGAACGCGUUGUUUGAUAGUAGCAAUACCUUUAGACAGCGAGUGGCGAACGGGUGAGUAACACGUAGAUAAUCUACCUUUCAGACGGGGAAAACUCAGGGAAACUUGUGCUAAUACCCGAUGAGACUACGCGAAGGGAUUUGUGUAGCCAAAGGCUGGGGUAACCUAGUGCUGAGAGAUGAGUCUGCGUCCUAUCAGCUAGUUGGUGGGGUAAAUGCCUACCAAGGCGAAGACGGGUAGCCGGCCUGAGAGGGUGAACGGCCACACUGGGACUGAGACACGGCCCAGACUCCUACGGGAGGCAGCAGUGAGGAAUUUUCCGCAAUGGGCGCAAGCCUGACGGAGCGACGCCGCGUGAGGGAUGACAGCUUUCGGGUUGUAAACCUCUUUUAUUAAGGAAAAGGUCAGUAUGCUAAUACCAUAUUGGUUUGAUUGUACUUUAUGAAUAAGCCCCGGCUAACUACGUGCCAGCAGCCG
RNAcentral lists this ribosomal RNA (511 nucleotides) under uncultured bacterium. RNAcentral describes it as "bacterial SSU rRNA". It matches the Rfam family "Bacterial small subunit ribosomal RNA", at positions 28 to 517 of the family's 1533-position model. The record is from RNAcentral.